UGGUGGAGUGAUUUGUCUGGUUAAUUCCGAUAACGAACGAGACCUUAACCUGCUAAAUAGCCCAUUCGGCUUUUGCUGAUUGCUGGCUUCUUAGAGGGACUGUCAGCGUCUAGCUGACGGAAGUUUGAGGCAAUAACA
RNAcentral lists this ribosomal RNA (138 nucleotides) under uncultured eukaryote. RNAcentral describes it as "partial 18S ribosomal RNA". It matches the Rfam family "Eukaryotic small subunit ribosomal RNA", at positions 1299 to 1458 of the family's 1831-position model. The record is from RNAcentral.